RNAcentral lists this ribosomal RNA (1165 nucleotides) under Bacillus sp. (in: firmicutes). RNAcentral's name for it is "bacterial SSU rRNA". It matches the Rfam family "Bacterial small subunit ribosomal RNA", at positions 55 to 1215 of the family's 1533-position model. The record is from RNAcentral. Lineage: Bacteria; Bacillati; Bacillota; Bacilli; Caryophanales; Bacillaceae.
AUGCAAGUCGAGCGGACCUCUUCGGAGGUCAGCGGCGGACGGGUGAGUAACACGUGGGCAACCUGCCUGUAAGACUGGGAUAACUCCGGGAAACCGGAGCUAAUACCGGAUAGUAUCUUGAACCGCAUGGUUCAAGUUGGAAAGACGGUUUCGGCUGUCACUUACAGAUGGGCCCGCGGCGCAUUAGCUAGUUGGUGAGGUAAUGGCUCACCAAGGCAACGAUGCGUAGCCGACCUGAGAGGGUGAUCGGCCACACUGGGACUGAGACACGGCCCAGACUCCUACGGGAGGCAGCAGUAGGGAAUCUUCCGCAAUGGACGAAAGUCUGACGGAGCAACGCCGCGUGAGUGAUGAAGGUUUUCGGAUCGUAAAACUCUGUUGUUAGGGAAGAACAAGUGCGAGAGUAACUGCUCGCACCUUGACGGUACCUAACCAGAAAGCCACGGCUAACUACGUGCCAGCAGCCGCGGUAAUACGUAGGUGGCAAGCGUUGUCCGGAAUUAUUGGGCGUAAAGCGCGCGCAGGCGGUUUCUUAAGUCUGAUGUGAAAGCCCCCGGCUCAACCGGGGAGGGUCAUUGGAAACUGGGAAACUUGAGUGCAGAAGAGGAGAGUGGAAUUCCACGUGUAGCGGUGAAAUGCGUAGAGAUGUGGAGGAACACCAGUGGCGAAGGCGACUCUCUGGUCUGUAACUGACGCUGAGGCGCGAAAGCGUGGGGAGCGAACAGGAUUAGAUACCCUGGUAGUCCACGCCGUAAACGAUGAGUGCUAAGUGUUAGAGGGUUUCCGCCCUUUAGUGCUGCAGCUAACGCAUUAAGCACUCCGCCUGGGGAGUACGGUCGCAAGACUGAAACUCAAAGGAAUUGACGGGGGCCCGCACAAGCGGUGGAGCAUGUGGUUUAAUUCGAAGCAACGCGAAGAACCUUACCAGGUCUUGACAUCCUUUGCCACUUCUAGAGAUAGAAGGUUCCCCUUCGGGGGACAAAGUGACAGGUGGUGCAUGGUUGUCGUCAGCUCGUGUCGUGAGAUGUUGGGUUAAGUCCCGCAACGAGCGCAACCCUUGAUCUUAGUUGCCAGCAUUCAGUUGGGCACUCUAAGGUGACUGCCGGUGACAAACCGGAGGAAGGUGGGGAUGACGUCAAUCAUCAUGCCCCUUAUGACCUGGGCU